UACAGAGGUCCCAAGCGUUGUUCGGAUUUACUGGGCGUAAAGCGUGCGUAGGCGGUUGGGUAAGUCGGAUGUGAAAGCCCUGGGCUUAACCUGGGAAUGCCAUUCGAUACUGCCCGACUCGAGUUCGGUAGAGGGCGGUGGAACUCCAGGUGUAGCGGUGAAAUGCGUAGAUAUCUGGAAGAACACCAAUGGCGAAGGCAACCGCCUGGGCCUGAACUGACGCUGAGGCACGAAAGCGUGGGGAGCAAACAGG
This 253-nucleotide ribosomal RNA is filed under the name uncultured bacterium. RNAcentral describes it as "partial 16S ribosomal RNA". It matches the Rfam family "Bacterial small subunit ribosomal RNA", at positions 524 to 776 of the family's 1533-position model. The record is from RNAcentral.